AUGCAAGUCGAGCGGGGGAAGGUAGCUUGCUACCGGACCUAGCGGCGGACGGGUGAGUAAUGCUUAGGAAUCUGCCUAUUAGUGGGGGACAACAUCUCGAAAGGGAUGCUAAUACCGCAUACGUCCUACGGGAGAAAGCAGGGGAUCUUCGGACCUUGCGCUAAUAGAUGAGCCUAAGUCGGAUUAGCUAGUUGGUGGGGUAAAGGCCUACCAAGGCGACGAUCUGUAGCGGGUCUGAGAGGAUGAUCCGCCACACUGGGACUGAGACACGGCCCAGACUCCUACGGGAGGCAGCAGUGGGGAAUAUUGGACAAUGGGGGGAACCCUGAUCCAGCCAUGCCGCGUGUGUGAAGAAGGCCUUAUGGUUGUAAAGCACUUUGAGCGAGGAGGAGGCUACUUUAGUUAAUACCUAGAGAUAGUGGACGUUACUCGCAGAAUAAGCACCGGCUAACUCUGUGCCAGCAGCCGCGGUAAUACAGAGGGUGCGAGCGUUAAUCGGAUUUACUGGGCGUAAAGCGUGCGUAGGCGGCUUAUUAAGUCGGAUGUGAAAUCCCCGAGCUUAACUUGGGAAUUGCAUUCGAUACUGGUGAGCUAGAGUAUGGGAGAGGAUGGUAGAGUUCCAGGUGUAGCGGUGAAAUGCG
This 641-nucleotide ribosomal RNA is filed under the name Acinetobacter baumannii Naval-18. RNAcentral's name for it is "bacterial SSU rRNA". It matches the Rfam family "Bacterial small subunit ribosomal RNA", at positions 55 to 690 of the family's 1533-position model. Lineage: Bacteria; Pseudomonadati; Pseudomonadota; Gammaproteobacteria; Moraxellales; Moraxellaceae. The record is from RNAcentral.